Molecule: ribosomal RNA, 346 nt
Filed under: uncultured bacterium
Lineage: Bacteria
Description: partial 16S ribosomal RNA
Rfam family: Bacterial small subunit ribosomal RNA
Source: RNAcentral
CCUACGGGAGGCAGCAGUGGGGAAUAUUGCGCAAUGGGCGAAAGCCUGACGCAGCGACGCCGCGUGAGGGAUGAAGGUCUUCGGAUCGUAAACCUCUGUCAGCAGGGAAGAACGGUCACUGUGCUAAGCAGCAGUGAAUUGACGGUACCUGCAAAGGAAGCACCGGCUACCACCGUGCCAGCAGCCGCGGUGAUACGGAGGGGGCGAGCGUUAAUCGGCAUUAAUGGGCGUAAAGCGCUCGUAGGCGGUAUGUCAAGUCAAGGGUGAAAUCCCCGCGCUCAACGUGGGAACUGCCUUUGAAACUGGCAAACUGGAGUGUGUGAGAGGUUAGUGGCAUUCCAGGUGU